Molecule: small nuclear RNA, 125 nt
Filed under: Ipomoea nil (Japanese morning glory)
Lineage: Eukaryota; Viridiplantae; Streptophyta; Magnoliopsida; Solanales; Convolvulaceae
Description: U2 spliceosomal RNA
Rfam family: U2 spliceosomal RNA
About the family: U2 is a small nuclear RNA (snRNA) component of the spliceosome (involved in pre-mRNA splicing).
Source: Rfam by way of RNAcentral
AUAGCUAAUUCAAGUGUAGUUUCUAUUCUUAUCAGUCUAAUAUCUGAAACGUGGGUCAAUAACUCACACGAUAAUCAGUUUAAUAUUUGACACGUGGGUCAAUGACCCACACGAUAUUAACUCCU